AAGGCAAAACCUUGGGGAAGCCGUGAACUAAGCUACUGUGUGUUUCCGGAAGAUUUUGCCUCAAUGAUGCUCGUCUUUUUUCUUUUUCUUUUAAUGUUUUAUUUAUAUUGUUUUCUUUUAUUUUUAAAAAGCCAAGACUUUUAUAUAUUAUUUUUUUAAUUGGGGGAACGGGUCUCUAGUAGAUGGGCCUGGGGCCUCACCGCACAGCUUGUUCAUUGGCACUGCCCCCAGAAUCCUGUGGCUUCGUCACAUAUGGACGCUCCAGAGGACUAGAAAAGGGGUGGCUGCGCAGAGCUUCCAGGGCGUCAUCUGCUCAGAAGGCCAGGCCCACCGUGGCUGGGGCCAGGAGCUGUGCUGUCUGACUAGUGACGCCAAACUCACUCAGAGUUUUCCUGUCAUGAAGGAGUUGGUCCUUGUAUAGCUUCUGCUUCUCCCGCGGCUGCUUAGGGAUGCCCUGGACGUUAAGCUUCAGCUCGAACACCGUGCUCGACUCCUUGACUUCAGUGAAGAUGGUGGUCUUAUGGCUCCCGAUCAUGAGAAACGCGUCCUGAAGACACCAGGCUGACAUCAGUGCUUGUCUGAAGCAACCUGCCGGGCCCCAGAGCCCCUGAAGCCCCACCCCCCCGCCAGCCCUGCGCCGCUCCUCCGGUGCCCGCUCACCUAUGUUUUAUCUUUGAUGUUAUAUGCAUCGGUGUUUUGCUUGCAUGUCUGUCUGCCUGGGUGCGGUUAUCAGAUGUCCUGGAACUGGUUAUGGACAAUUUUUGAGCUGCCAUGUAGGUGCUUGGAAUUGAACCCAGGUCUUCUGGAAGAGCAACCAGUGCCGCUAACCACUGAGCCAUCUCUAGAGCCCCUGCUUGGUUUUUUGUUUUGUUUUUUGUUUUUUUCUUGAUCACUGAAAGUUUCUCCGCUCCAGUGACCAGCAUCAAGUAUCACAGCAAAGCAAAGGUUUCAUCUAGUGGCCUGGUAUCUUGUGAACCACAGCUGAUUCUCCAAACCUCACUUAAUCAGAACCACCAGGAAGGAUCUUGGCAAGACCGGAGAGCCUGCUGAUACUCAGGAUCUGGUUCCAGAACUGAUGUGCUAGAGAGUACCAGAAGAAGGCUCAAAAACUACCCGGGAAGCCUGGAUGUGGGACUCAAGAUAGGCCUACAGACCCCAAAGGCUGGGAACUUCCUGUUUCCUCUGCCAGUGCAGUUUCUUUGUGCCAGAAACAUGUGGAAGUCUGCUGUCCUCAACUCAGUCCACCGAGUACCUCCCCAGACCAGGAAUCCAUCUUCUCCAACACUGAUCCAGCCUGUACGGAGCUCUACCCAAAAAUACAAGAUCUAGGCAGCAGAGGGAAAAAGCUAUAGUAAAACUGUGGAAGCAAGGCCAGAGUACUGUGCUAGAUCUGCAGCCCCAAAGGCAGCGCCUUUCCCCUGGCCUCUGACUGUGGGCAUUCCUUGUCCCAGAGACACUGUCUUGAUUGUUCUCCUCCGCUUAGCCCUCCAAAUAUUUCCCCAGGCUCAGAGUCCACGUUUCCUAUGUGGGGAGAGACCACCAUGUGUCAGCCCUCCUCCCCCACUAAGCUCUGUAUGUUCUGGAAUCUGUCUUCUCCAUUGCUCAGACCAACAAGAGUCUCUCAUGUGAAGCCCUGGUGUCUGUACAGGUUGACCAAGCCGCACUAGACACAAUCGCAGACCAAUCAGCAGCAGCUUAUGCAAUAGCUACACACCCGGCUCUACCCCAAGACCUUCCUUAAAGGAGCUCCAAACGCCAUCAUAGCUUCAGAAGCUCCGGUGGUAGCUGUGAAGGUAGCUAGAAGCCCAAGGGAAACUCCAUUCAAAGGGGGGGGGGUAUUUUUUAAAUUUUUUCAAAUUUGAUUUUAUAUUAAAUAUUUUUACUACAUAGAAAAUAUACGGCUAUUUUAAUAUAACAUUUUUACUGGUUCUUAGAAUGUUAGAUCAAACGCCACCUGGUCAUAUUCAUUUUCCCCAUCCUUCCAAAUCCACCCAAACUUGUAACCUUCCAUAACAAAAAU
RNAcentral lists this long non-coding RNA (2020 nucleotides) under Mus musculus (house mouse). RNAcentral's name for it is "mitochondrial sheath formation associated divergent transcript". Lineage: Eukaryota; Metazoa; Chordata; Mammalia; Rodentia; Muridae. The record is from RNAcentral.